AGCAGCCGCGGUAAUUCCAGCUCCAAUAGCGUAUAUUAAAGUUGUUGCAGUUAAAAAGCUCGUAGUUGAAUUUCGGGACCAAUCUGCCGGUCGUGCCUCCGGUACGCACUGGUUUUAUUGGUUUCUCCCUUCUGACGAACCAUGAUGUCAUUAAUUUGGUGUCAUGGGGAAUCAGGACUGUUACUUUGAAAAAAUUAGAGUGUUUAAAGCAGGCUCACGCUUGAAUACAUUAGCAUGGAAUAAUGAAAUAGGACGUUUGAUUCUAUUUUGUUGGUUUCUAGGAUUGACGUAAUGAUUAAUAGGGAUAGUUGGGGGCAUUAGUAUUCAAUUGUCAGAGGUGAAAUUCUUGGAUUUAUUGAAGACUAACUACUGCGAAAGCAUUUGCCAAGGAUGUUUUCAUUAAUCAAGAACGAAAGUUAGGGGAUCGAAGACGAUCAGAUACCGUCGUAGUCUUAACCAUAAACUAUGCCGACUAGGGAUCGGAUGAUGUUAAUUUUUUAAUGACUCAUUCGGCGCCUUA
RNAcentral lists this ribosomal RNA (520 nucleotides) under uncultured Glomus. Its description in RNAcentral is "SSU rRNA". It matches the Rfam family "Eukaryotic small subunit ribosomal RNA", at positions 569 to 1090 of the family's 1831-position model. Lineage: Eukaryota; Fungi; Glomeromycota; Glomeromycetes; Glomerales; Glomeraceae. The record is from RNAcentral.